RNAcentral lists this ribosomal RNA (465 nucleotides) under Vreelandella stevensii. Its description in RNAcentral is "partial 16S ribosomal RNA". It matches the Rfam family "Bacterial small subunit ribosomal RNA", at positions 338 to 795 of the family's 1533-position model. The record is from RNAcentral. Lineage: Bacteria; Pseudomonadati; Pseudomonadota; Gammaproteobacteria; Oceanospirillales; Halomonadaceae.
CCUACGGGCGGCUGCAGUGGGGAAUAUUGGACAAUGGGCGAAAGCCUGAUCCAGCCAUGCCGCGUUUGUGAAGAAGGCCUUCGGGUUGUAAAGCACUUUCAGUGGGGAAGAAAGCCUUGGGGCUAAUACCCUCGAGGAAGGACAUCACCCACAGAAGAAGCACCGGCUAACUCCGUGCCAGCAGCCGCGGUAAUACGGAGGGUGCGAGCGUUAAUCGGAAUUACUGGGCGUAAAGCGCGCGUAGGCGGUCUGAUAAGCCGGUUGUGAAAGCCCCGGGCUCAACCUGGGAACGGCAUCCGGAACUGUCAGGCUAGAGUGCAGGAGAGGAAGGUAGAAUUCCCGGUGUAGCGGUGAAAUGCGUAGAGAUCGGGAGGAAUACCAGUGGCGAAGGCGGCCUUCUGGACUGACACUGACGCUGAGGUGCGAAAGCGUGGGUAGCAAACAGGAUUAGAUACCCGAGUAGUC